This 108-nucleotide ribosomal RNA is filed under the name uncultured Photorhabdus sp. RNAcentral's name for it is "partial 16S ribosomal RNA". It matches the Rfam family "Bacterial small subunit ribosomal RNA", at positions 338 to 446 of the family's 1533-position model. The record is from RNAcentral. Lineage: Bacteria; Pseudomonadati; Pseudomonadota; Gammaproteobacteria; Enterobacterales; Morganellaceae.
CCUACGGGAGGCAGCAGUGGGGAAUAUUGCACAAUGGGCGCAAGCCUGAUGCAGCCAUGCCGCGUGUAUGAAGAAGGCCUUCGGUUGUAAAGUACUUUCAGCGGGGAA